This 723-nucleotide ribosomal RNA is filed under the name Triticum aestivum (bread wheat). Its description in RNAcentral is "partial small subunit ribosomal RNA". Lineage: Eukaryota; Viridiplantae; Streptophyta; Magnoliopsida; Poales; Poaceae. The record is from RNAcentral.
AUGAUGCGCACAUAUGGGCUUUCGGAUGCUGAGAUUUGUAUUAAACAUGGCCUUUAUUGGCUUGAUGGCACAAGGAAGAGUUCUCCUGAAGGCAAUCCAGACCAUAGGAAUGUCAGCGUAUUGGUUCAAGCUUUGCUAGAUAAAUACAAUGAAGAUCACCAUCUUUUGGGGGAUCUUGCAUAUGAACUUGAUGAUGUUGUGAUCUUCCGAGAAUUUUAUGAGGGGAAGAACUUCACUAUGUUCUACCAUAUCAAUUUGACUACAAAAACCAAAGGACAAGAUGGUUUGCACAGUGGCGUCAACAAUCUAUUUUUUGCUGAAGUCAGAGAAAUUGAAGGAGAAAAUGACGAAUAUGUGCUCAAUUGUUUAUGUAUGGUUAAUCCUACCGACAAUGGCCAAUGCUAUGGUUGUAUGAGUUAUGGAAAUGUUGAUUUGAAGCACCCUGUUGAUGUGGAUAAAUACAAAGGGGGUCACUCUAGCCCACACAUACCAUGUUGUGGUUUUGAUCUAGGGUGUGAUGUUAUUACUGGCCUAGAUGCAUACACCGAGAGUGAAGAGGCUAGGCUGGUGGAUGACGAGGCUAUGCUAAGAUAUAUCUGGCAAAAUUGGAUGGUGAAGAGUGCCUGCUGGUUUGGCGAAGAGAGAGGAUUCUGGUUUGACCAAGGGAGAGUGUGGUCAGGAAGCGUGAAAUACAUUGUACCUGCUAGGCGUAUGUUGGUUUGA